This 150-nucleotide ribosomal RNA is filed under the name uncultured bacterium. Its description in RNAcentral is "partial 16S ribosomal RNA". It matches the Rfam family "Bacterial small subunit ribosomal RNA", at positions 357 to 504 of the family's 1533-position model. The record is from RNAcentral.
GGGAAUAUUGGUCAAUGGACGAGAGUCUGAACCAGCCAAGUAGCGUGAAGGAUGACUGCCCUAUGGGUUGUAAACUUCUUUUAUACGGGAAUAAAGUGAGGCACGUGUGCCUUUUUGUAUGUACCGUAUGAAUAAGGAUCGGCUAACUCC